GAUAUUUUAGAGAGUUUGAUCCUGGCUCAGGACGAACGCUGGCGGCGUGCCUAACACAUGCAAGUCGAACGGAGUAAAACGCUGAAUUGAUGUAAGCUUGCUUAUGGAUUUUCUUGUUUUACUUAGUGGCGGACGGGUGAGUAACGCGUGAGUAACCUGCCUUACAGAGGGGGACAACAGUUGGAAACGACUGCUAAUACCGCAUAACAUACGGAUAUCGCAUGGUAACCGUAUCAAAGGAGCAAUCCGCUGUAAGAUGGACUCGCGUCCAAUUAGAUAGUUGGUGGGGUAACGGCCCACCAAGUCGACGAUUGGUAGCCGGACUGAGAGGUUG
Molecule: ribosomal RNA, 334 nt
Filed under: Oscillospiraceae bacterium
Lineage: Bacteria; Bacillati; Bacillota; Clostridia; Eubacteriales; Oscillospiraceae
Description: bacterial SSU rRNA
Rfam family: Bacterial small subunit ribosomal RNA
Source: RNAcentral